AAAGACAUAUACUCCUGAGUAUAAUCCUGUGUAUUCAAAUGUAAAGAACAAAUUGAUUGGAACGUUUUAAAACCUCCAUUUUAUAGUUUUUUGUGUGUUCCUUUUAAUAGCUUGACUUCAAGCUUAGCAAAAUUUACUCAUUCUUGCAGGAACUAUUGAUUGUUUUUUAUGUGGAAGGACACUGUGGAGAAUGAAAUGAUAAGUAAGAGAUCACAUGCUGUCUCUACUGUAUAUCAUUGGAGUUGUGGGCCCAGCUGGAAGGAACAAGCACAAUUCUUAGUCCUAGAGGACAGAAAAGCGAGUCCUGUUAACCAAGUCUCAACCUAGAAUCUGAAGGAAAUUUGUAUUAUCUCAGGUUCUUCUGAUUUGGAAGUGAAAAUAAUCACACCCACCCUUUUCCUAUGAUGCAGAGUGCUGGUAGAGCAGCCUUCUACAGUUCCAGAAAAGUUCCUCAAACAGAGAGAAGUAGAGGAAAGCAGUUAGAAGUUGCCCAGACCACAGUGAAAUGGCAC
RNAcentral lists this long non-coding RNA (512 nucleotides) under Equus asinus (donkey). RNAcentral's name for it is "lncRNA (ENSEASG00005036534.1)". The record is from RNAcentral. Lineage: Eukaryota; Metazoa; Chordata; Mammalia; Perissodactyla; Equidae.